This 2898-nucleotide ribosomal RNA is filed under the name Escherichia coli DEC7E. Its description in RNAcentral is "bacterial LSU rRNA". It matches the Rfam family "Bacterial large subunit ribosomal RNA". The record is from RNAcentral. Lineage: Bacteria; Pseudomonadati; Pseudomonadota; Gammaproteobacteria; Enterobacterales; Enterobacteriaceae.
UUAAGCGACUAAGCGUACACGGUGGAUGCCCUGGCAGUCAGAGGCGAUGAAGGACGUGCUAAUCUGCGAUAAGCGUCGGUAAGGUGAUAUGAACCGUUAUAACCGGCGAUUUCCGAAUGGGGAAACCCAGUGUGAUUCGUCACACUAUCAUUAACUGAAUCCAUAGGUUAAUGAGGCGAACCGGGGGAACUGAAACAUCUAAGUACCCCGAGGAAAAGAAAUCAACCGAGAUUCCCCCAGUAGCGGCGAGCGAACGGGGAGCAGCCCAGAGCCUGAAUCAGUGUGUGUGUUAGUGGAAGCGUCUGGAAAGGCGCGCGAUACAGGGUGACAGCCCCGUACACAAAAAUGCACAUAUUGUGAGCUCGAUGAGUAGGGCGGGACACGUGGUAUCCUGUCUGAAUAUGGGGGACCAUCCUCCAAGGCUAAAUACUCCUGACUGACCGAUAGUGAACCAGUACCGUGAGGAAAGGCGAAAAGAACCCGGCGAGGGAGUGAAAAAGAACCUGAAACCGUGUACGUACAAGCAGUGGGAGCACGCUUAGGCGUGUGACUGCGUACCUUUUGUAUAAUGGGUCAGCGACUUAUAUUCUGUAGCAAGGUUAACCGAAUAGGGGAGCCGAAGGGAAACCGAGUCUUAACUGGGCGUUAAGUUGCAGGGUAUAGACCCGAAACCCGGUGAUCUAGCCAUGGGCAGGUUGAAGGUUGGGUAACACUAACUGGAGGACCGAACCGACUAAUGUUGAAAAAUUAGCGGAUGACUUGUGGCUGGGGGUGAAAGGCCAAUCAAACCGGGAGAUAGCUGGUUCUCCCCGAAAGCUAUUUAGGUAGCGCCUCGUGAAUUCAUCUCCGGGGGUAGAGCACUGUUUCGGCAAGGGGGUCAUCCCGACUUACCAACCCGAUGCAAACUGCGAAUACCGGAGAAUGUUAUCACGGGAGACACACGGCGGGUGCUAACGUCCGUCGUGAAGAGGGAAACAACCCAGACCGCCAGCUAAGGUCCCAAAGUCAUGGUUAAGUGGGAAACGAUGUGGGAAGGCCCAGACAGCCAGGAUGUUGGCUUAGAAGCAGCCAUCAUUUAAAGAAAGCGUAAUAGCUCACUGGUCGAGUCGGCCUGCGCGGAAGAUGUAACGGGGCUAAACCAUGCACCGAAGCUGCGGCAGCGACGCUUAUGCGUUGUUGGGUAGGGGAGCGUUCUGUAAGCCUGUGAAGGUGUGCUGUGAGGCAUGCUGGAGGUAUCAGAAGUGCGAAUGCUGACAUAAGUAACGAUAAAGCGGGUGAAAAGCCCGCUCGCCGGAAGACCAAGGGUUCCUGUCCAACGUUAAUCGGGGCAGGGUGAGUCGACCCCUAAGGCGAGGCCGAAAGGCGUAGUCGAUGGGAAACAGGUUAAUAUUCCUGUACUUGGUGUUACUGCGAAGGGGGGACGGAGAAGGCUAUGUUGGCCGGGCGACGGUUGUCCCGGUUUAAGCGUGUAGGCUGGUUUUCCAGGCAAAUCCGGAAAAUCAAGGCUGAGGCGUGAUGACGAGGCACUACGGUGCUGAAGCAACAAAUGCCCUGCUUCCAGGAAAAGCCUCUAAGCAUCAGGUAACAUCAAAUCGUACCCCAAACCGACACAGGUGGUCAGGUAGAGAAUACCAAGGCGCUUGAGAGAACUCGGGUGAAGGAACUAGGCAAAAUGGUGCCGUAACUUCGGGAGAAGGCACGCUGAUAUGUAGGUGAAGCGACUUGCUCGUGGAGCUGAAAUCAGUCGAAGAUACCAGCUGGCUGCAACUGUUUAUUAAAAACACAGCACUGUGCAAACACGAAAGUGGACGUAUACGGUGUGACGCCUGCCCGGUGCCGGAAGGUUAAUUGAUGGGGUCAGCGCAAGCGAAGCUCUUGAUCGAAGCCCCGGUAAACGGCGGCCGUAACUAUAACGGUCCUAAGGUAGCGAAAUUCCUUGUCGGGUAAGUUCCGACCUGCACGAAUGGCGUAAUGAUGGCCAGGCUGUCUCCACCCGAGACUCAGUGAAAUUGAACUCGCUGUGAAGAUGCAGUGUACCCGCGGCAAGACGGAAAGACCCCGUGAACCUUUACUAUAGCUUGACACUGAACAUUGAGCCUUGAUGUGUAGGAUAGGUGGGAGGCUUUGAAGUGUGGACGCCAGUCUGCAUGGAGCCGACCUUGAAAUACCACCCUUUAAUGUUUGAUGUUCUAACGUUGACCCGUAAUCCGGGUUGCGGACAGUGUCUGGUGGGUAGUUUGACUGGGGCGGUCUCCUCCUAAAGAGUAACGGAGGAGCACGAAGGUUGGCUAAUCCUGGUCGGACAUCAGGAGGUUAGUGCAAUGGCAUAAGCCAGCUUGACUGCGAGCGUGACGGCGCGAGCAGGUGCGAAAGCAGGUCAUAGUGAUCCGGUGGUUCUGAAUGGAAGGGCCAUCGCUCAACGGAUAAAAGGUACUCCGGGGAUAACAGGCUGAUACCGCCCAAGAGUUCAUAUCGACGGCGGUGUUUGGCACCUCGAUGUCGGCUCAUCACAUCCUGGGGCUGAAGUAGGUCCCAAGGGUAUGGCUGUUCGCCAUUUAAAGUGGUACGCGAGCUGGGUUUAGAACGUCGUGAGACAGUUCGGUCCCUAUCUGCCGUGGGCGCUGGAGAACUGAGGGGGGCUGCUCCUAGUACGAGAGGACCGGAGUGGACGCAUCACUGGUGUUCGGGUUGUCAUGCCAAUGGCACUGCCCGGUAGCUAAAUGCGGAAGAGAUAAGUGCUGAAAGCAUCUAAGCACGAAACUUGCCCCGAGAUGAGUUCUCCCUGACUCCUUGAGAGUCCUGAAGGAACGUUGAAGACGACGACGUUGAUAGGCCGGGUGUGUAAGCGCAGCGAUGCGUUGAGCUAACCGGUACUAAUGAACCGUGAGGCUUAACCUU